Molecule: long non-coding RNA, 1278 nt
Organism: Mobula hypostoma (lesser devil ray)
Lineage: Eukaryota; Metazoa; Chordata; Chondrichthyes; Myliobatiformes; Myliobatidae
Exons: 6
Source: RefSeq, a predicted model, not a curated record
CGCGGGAGAACCGGUCAUAGGAUAUGACUGGUUUGUUCGAGAUGGAUUGCGAGCAACAUUCAGAAGUUGGUGUGUGCUUUCACACUGACUGAAUGACCAGCCUGUGCGUGACAGAGAAGUUCAAGCAGUUUCCUGAAACUCAAAGGACAAGCCGUCAUUUUCAGAAGCCCUACAACAGAGCAGCAGGAAUCAUCUACUGAUUUAUGGCCUUGACAGUCAACCCAGAGGCAGCUUCUCAGCAAAGUUCAUGCCAUGGAUCCACUCCAGAUGCUAUGUGAACUGUUGAGGAGAUUGAUGAAUCUGUUUAGUCAUUCCAGAUGACCAAGGCUUUCUCAUUACCUUCUGCACAGUUUGCUCCUACAGUUGGCAUUGUCAGCGGGAUACCCUACUGGAUUACAACCAACUAUGUGGCUUCUGUUCAGGAACAGUAAAGAAGGAACUCGACAAACUACGCCCAGAAGAAUCUGGAUAAUUGAAUUUGUCAUUCUUUUGAGCUGUCUCUCGAGAGCAAGUAAAAUACCGUCUAUAAACCGAGGGGAUAACGAAGAGCGACCAUCUGUGGUGUGUACCAAUGGUAUCCGGUUCAACAGGAGGGACGUGAUAGCAUGCGGUGCUGUGAAAUGGACAUUUGAAAACUGCACAGCGCUCGGGGGACAUCCGGUGGGGAGUGGGCAUGCACGAGAGGGGGAUCCUAUGUUUAUGUUUGUCAUGCCGAGACACAGGACUACCGAACCAUUCACACUUAAAUGUGGCAAUGAAACUUGUACGGUAACACGACAGGACUGCUGCAUUCAGAAAUUGAUCAGUGCAGGACUCCCCUGUUACCCGUAGUGAUAGCCGAAAUGACACUGGGGAUAUAGGAUUAGUACUGGAAGAUAUGAGCGAAAGGGUUACUCUAGUACCAGGCUACAGACACGUACAGUUAGUCUUCAACCUGACUGCCUUCUGACUUUAGUUUUUGUGGGGACCGUACAAAUCUCCUUUUCCAACAGUUACUCAAUAAACAAGUUACUCGGAGUGAGAUUAGGACAGAGAGAUGAAAAAAGAAAGGAGCUUUAUAAAGUUGCUAGGAAAAGAAUAUUCAGCUGGGGUCUCUGUAGUUAAUUCUUUAGAUAUAGCAGAAAAUUUUGUGCAUUUAAUAUUUCAAUAACAUUUGAGUAAUAUAUAUUGUUUAACUAAGCAUUCUUGGUGGUUAUUCAUUACAAGUUAUAUGUAAAAAUACAUUAAUUACAUGCAUCAUCAUGCAGCAAUGUGAUUCGAGCUCACCUCGCUUAAAGU